This 422-nucleotide ribosomal RNA is filed under the name uncultured archaeon. Its description in RNAcentral is "bacterial SSU rRNA". It matches the Rfam family "Archaeal small subunit ribosomal RNA", at positions 458 to 880 of the family's 1478-position model. The record is from RNAcentral.
UCAGCCGCCGCGGUAAUACCAGCUCUCCGAGUGGUGUGGACGUUUAUUGGGCCUAAAGCAUCCGUAGCUGGCUGAACAAGUCCCCUGUUAAACCCACCGAUUUAAUCGUUGGCGUGCGGGGGAUACUGCCUGGCUAGGGGACGAGAGAGGCAGACGGUAUUCCCGGGGUAGGGGUGAAAUCCUAUAAUCCCGAGAAGACCACCAGUGGCGAAGGCUGUCUGCUAGAACGCGCCCGACGGUGAGGGAUGAAAGCUGGGGGAGCGAACCGGAUUAGAUACCCGGGUAGUCCCAGCUGUAAACGAUGCAGACUAGGUGUUUGGACGGCCACGUGCCGUUCUAGUGCCGCAGGGAAGCUGUUAAGUCUGCCGCCUGGGGAGUACGAUCGCAAGGUUGAAACUUAAAGGAAUUGGCGGGGGAGCACA